GACGAACGCUGGCGGCGUGCUUAACACAUGCAAGUCGAACGGAAAGGCCCUGCUUUUGUGGGGUGCUCGAGUGGCGAACGGGUGAGUAACACGUGAGUAACCUGCCCUUGACUUUGGGAUAACUUCAGGAAACUGGGGCUAAUACCGGAUAGGAGCUCCUGCUGCAUGGUGGGGGUUGGAAAGUUUCGGCGGUUGGGGAUGGACUCGCGGCUUAUCAGCUUGUUGGUGGGGUAGUGGCUUACCAAGGCUUUGACGGGUAGCCGGCCUGAGAGGGUGACCGGCGACAUGGGGACUGAGAGACGGCGCAGUCUCCUACGGGAGGCAGCAGUGGGGAAUAUUGCACAAUGGGCGGAAGCCUGAUGCAGCAACGCCGCGUGUGGGAUGACGGCCUUCGGGUGGUGAACCGCUUUCGCCUGUGACGAAGCGUGAGUGACGGUAAUGGGUAAAGAAGCACCGGCUAACUACGUG
This 468-nucleotide ribosomal RNA is filed under the name uncultured bacterium. RNAcentral's name for it is "partial 16S ribosomal RNA". It matches the Rfam family "Bacterial small subunit ribosomal RNA", at positions 28 to 507 of the family's 1533-position model. The record is from RNAcentral.